Molecule: transfer RNA, 75 nt
Filed under: Cordylochernes scorpioides
Lineage: Eukaryota; Metazoa; Arthropoda; Arachnida; Pseudoscorpiones; Chernetidae
Description: tRNA-Gly
Source: RNAcentral
UGUAACGCCUGGGAAUCGAACUCGGGCAACCCGCGUGGCAGGCGAGCAUUCUACCACUGAACCACCGAUGGUCAU